Oncorhynchus tshawytscha (Chinook salmon) is the source of this 348-nucleotide long non-coding RNA. Lineage: Eukaryota; Metazoa; Chordata; Actinopteri; Salmoniformes; Salmonidae. The record is from Ensembl.
GUUUUCUUUGUUUUAGUGUUGGUCAGGACGUGAGCUGAGUGGGCAUUCUUUGUUGUAUGUCUAGUUUGUCUAUUUCUAUGUUUGGCCUGAUAUGGUUCUCAAUCAGAGGCAGGUGUUAGUCAUUGUCUCGGAUUGGGAACCAUAUUUAGGUAGCCUGUUUUAUGUUGGGUUUUGUGGGUGGUUGUCUUCUGUCUUUGUGUCAUUGCACCAGACAGGACUGUUUCGGUUUUCACAUUUGUUGUUUUGUAUUGUGUAGUGUUCUCGUGUAUGGUCUUUAUUAAACAUGUUGAACUCUAACCACGCUGCAUUUUGGUCCUCCUCUCCUUCAAUGGAAGAAAACCGUUACAG